GAGUUUGAUCCUGGCUCAGGAUGAACGCUGGCGGCGUGCCUAAUACAUGCAAGUCGAACGCUUUGUGGUUCAACUGAUUUGAAGAGCUUGCUCAGAUAUGACGAUGGACAUUGCAAAGAGUGGCGAACGGGUGAGUAACACGUGGGAAACCUACCUCUUAGCAGGGGAUAACAUUUGGAAACAGAUGCUAAUACCGUAUAACAAUGACAACCGCAUGGUUGUUAUUUAAAAGAUGGUUCUGCUAUCACUAAGAGAUGGUCCCGCGGUGCAUUAGCUAGUUGGUAAGGUAAUGGCUUACCAAGGCGAUGAUGCAUAGCCGAGUUGAGAGACUGAUCGGCCACAAUGGGACUGAGACACGGCCCAUACUCCUACGGGAGGCAGCAGUAGGGAAUCUUCCACAAUGGGCGAAAGCCUGAUGGAGCAACGCCGCGUGUGUGAUGAAGGGUUUCGGCUCGUAAAACACUGUUGUAAGAGAAGAAUGACAUUGAGAGUAACUGUUCAAUGUGUGACGGUAUCUUACCAGAAAGGAACGGCUAAAUACGUGCCAGCAGCCGCGGUAAUACGUAUGUUCCAAGCGUUAUCCGGAUUUAUUGGGCGUAAAGCGAGCGCAGACGGUUAUUUAAGUCUGAAGUGAAAGCCCUCAGCUCAACUGAGGAAUUGCUUUGGAAACUGGAUGACUUGAGUGCAGUAGAGGAAAGUGGAACUCCAUGUGUAGCGGUGAAAUGCGUAGAUAUAUGGAAGAACACCAGUGGCGAAGGCGGCUUUCUGGACUGUAACUGACGUUGAGGCUUGAAAGUGUGGGUAGCAAUCAGGAUUAGAUACCCUGGUAGUCCACACCGUAAACGAUGAGUGCUAGGUGUUUGAGGGUUUCCGCCCUUAAGUGCCGCAGCUAACGCAUUAAGCACUCCGCCUGGGGAGUACGACCGCAAGGUUGAAACUCAAAGGAAUUGACGGGGACCCGCACAAGCGGUGGAGCAUGUGGUUUAAUUCGAAGCAACGCGAAGAACCUUACCAGGUCUUGACAUCCCUUGACAACUCCAGAGAUGGAGCGUUCCCUUCGGGGACAAGGUGACAGGUGGUGCAUGGUUGUCGUCAGCUCGUGUCGUGAGAUGUUGGGUUCAACGAGCGCAACCCUUAUUACUAGUUGCCAGCAUUUAGUUGGGCACUCUAGUGAGACUGCCGGUGACAAACCGGAGGAAGGUGGGGAUGACGUCAAAUCAUCAUGCCCCUUAUGACCUGGGCUACACACGUGCUACAAUGGCGUAUACAACGAGUUGCCAACCCGCGAGGGUGAGCUAAUCUCUUAAAGUACGUCUCAGUUCGGAUUGUAGGCUGCAACUCGCCUACAUGAAGUCGGAAUCGCUAGUAAUCGCGGAUCAGCACGCCGCGGUGAAUACGUUCCCGGGUCUUGUACACACCGCCCGUCACACCAUGAGAGUUUGUAACACCCAAAGCCGGUGGGGUAACCUU
RNAcentral lists this ribosomal RNA (1470 nucleotides) under Weissella salipiscis. Its description in RNAcentral is "16S ribosomal RNA". It matches the Rfam family "Bacterial small subunit ribosomal RNA". Lineage: Bacteria; Bacillati; Bacillota; Bacilli; Lactobacillales; Lactobacillaceae. The record is from RNAcentral.